Molecule: ribosomal RNA, 252 nt
Filed under: uncultured bacterium
Lineage: Bacteria
Description: partial 16S ribosomal RNA
Rfam family: Bacterial small subunit ribosomal RNA
Source: RNAcentral
UACGAAGGGUGCAAGCGUUACUCGGAAUUACUGGGCGUAAAGCGUGCGUAGGUGGUGAGUUAAGUCUGUCGUGAAAGCCCCGGGCUCAACCUGGGAAUGGCGAUGGAUACUGGCUCGCUAGAGUGCGGUAGAGGAGAGUGGAAUCCCGGUGUAGCAGUGAAAUGCGUAGAGAUCGGGAGGAACAUCAGUUGCGAAGGCGGCUCUCUGGACCAGCACUGACACUGAGGCACGAAAGCGUGGGGAGCAAACAGG